Molecule: long non-coding RNA, 101 nt
Organism: Amblyraja radiata (thorny skate)
Lineage: Eukaryota; Metazoa; Chordata; Chondrichthyes; Rajiformes; Rajidae
Exons: 3
Source: RefSeq, a predicted model, not a curated record
UCUUGAUGCUGAAGAUGAUAAUACUGAGCCAGAUCGAAAGGGCAUGUUUCACCGUACUGGCAACACUGAAAGUAACAGGUGAUAUCUUUCCCAUUAAAGCA